AGCAACCGUAGUGAACGAAGCAGUGGACUACAUAAAAGUUCUGCAGGAAACUCUGGAAAAGCUAGAGAGAAAGAAAGAAGAAAGGGCACAACAUGUUCUGAAACAAAUUAUGGGAAGGAGUUCUGGUGCGGGUUCAGUGUCUGAGAAGCAGAAAGGUUUUGAUAAAACUUGGGCUGCUUCAAACAUGGUCCUGAACAUUCGUGGAAAUGAAGCUCAAUUCUCGAUUUGCUCAGUGCAUAAGCCAGGACUCAUGACCAACAUUGCUUCUGUGCUGGAAAAGCACAACAUAGAACUCAUUUCUGCAACCAUUUCGGCCAAUGGAAAUGGAAGUACAUGCAUGAUUCAAGUCCAUGGAAAACAAGCUUCGGAUGCAAAUUCAAUGGAGG
Molecule: small RNA, 386 nt
Filed under: Vigna angularis var. angularis
Lineage: Eukaryota; Viridiplantae; Streptophyta; Magnoliopsida; Fabales; Fabaceae
Description: Non-protein coding transcript
Source: RNAcentral